Molecule: ribosomal RNA, 403 nt
Filed under: uncultured bacterium
Lineage: Bacteria
Description: bacterial SSU rRNA
Rfam family: Bacterial small subunit ribosomal RNA
Source: RNAcentral
UGGGGAAUAUUGGACAAUGGGGGAAACCCUGAUCCAGCAAUGCCGCGUGAGUGAAGAAGGCCAUAGGGUUGUAAAGCUCUUUCAGUAGGGACGAUGAUGACGGUACCUACAGAAGAAGCCCCGGCUAACUCCGUGCCAGCAGCCGCGGUAAGACGGAGGGGGCUAGCGUUGUUUGGAAUUACUGGGCGUAAAGGGCGCGUAGGCGGCAAAUCAAGUUAGGCGUGAAAUCCCUGGGCUUAACCCAGGAACUGCGUUUAAUACUGGUUAGCUAGAGAUUGGUAGAGGAAAGUGGAAUUCCUAGUGUAGAGGUGAAAUUCGUAGAUAUUAGGAAGAACACCAGAGGCGAAGGCGACUUUCUGGGCCAAUACUGACGCUGAGGCGCGAAAGCGUGGGGAGCAAACAG